AUGUCGUCCUUUCGUACCACAUGGAGGACGUCAAUAAUUAGAUCUGACAGAUGGUGUUGUGGAAGAACUACUUAGAUCAUGCAAAAGAUGAGUAUAUGUAGCCAUAAGCGCAAAAACUUUGUCAUGGGGUUUCAUCCCAUUUAGUGUCUGGAAAUUGAUGGACAUAUGACUAUCAAUCAUAUGAUGUGAAACCUGCACACAGAAAAAUCAUCAAAUCUCUCAACCGGGUAUUAGCAUAUUCAAUAUUGGCUAAAGAGACACAUUUUGCUGACUCAGUACAUUCAAGGUACAAGUAUCAAGAAUUCUAUGUUGCUUACUCACAACAGACACGGACUGUGGGGCAUGUUACAACCCCUCUAGUCUGCAAGUUUGCUCAGUUUGGGAGACAAUUACUCCCAAAUCUCCACAUAAAAAAUUUCUCCUUGAAUUUUAAGCUCCUUUAUAUUGACCAAGUGUUCUGCACAAACUAUGUAAGCAUUUUUAACUGCAUUAGUUCCUCUACCAUCAAAUAUCCAUAUCCUCUCAUCAGGUUUAUUCAAUCUCAACAAAGUAAUCUUCAAAAUUGCACUCACAUCAGAACCUCCAAAAGUAUAUUUGCUUAUGUACCAAUCCAAGAUCUUGUACUCUUAUCUAUCAAGUUAUCAACUAUUUGUGAUAUAGUGAAAAAAGAUAAGGUGUUUGUACACAUGGGAUGUACAUACCACUAAGCCAAUGAUCGGUCCAAAUAUUAAUUGACGAACCAUCACCUAUUUUCCAGUGAUGUCCUUCUUCUAAAACCAUCCGUAAAGUCUAGACACUACACCAAAUAUAACUUGGAUUGUGGCCAAUAACCACACCAAGAAGUUCCAAUGUGAAAAAUAUUUUACUUCGAAGACUCUAGAAACUAUAGAUUUGGGUUGGUUAACAAUUUCCAAACUUGCUUCCCCAACAUUACUAGAUCAAGGCCAUAGAUAUCGUGGAAACCAUGUUACCUUAGCUCAAAUAUGUAAUUCAAAUAUGACACUUUUCCUAUUACCUUAUUAGCUCUUU
This 1029-nucleotide long non-coding RNA is filed under the name Medicago truncatula (barrel medic). RNAcentral's name for it is "lncRNA gene30499". The record is from RNAcentral. Lineage: Eukaryota; Viridiplantae; Streptophyta; Magnoliopsida; Fabales; Fabaceae.